AUACGUAGGGUGCGAGCGUUGUCCGGAAUUACUGGGCGUAAAGAGCUCGUAGGUGGUUUGUCGCGUCGUCUGUGAAGUUCCGGGGCUUAACUCCGGGCGUGCAGGCGAUACGGGCAUAACUUGAGUACUGUAGGGGAGACUGGAAUUCCUGGUGUAGCGGUGAAAUGCGCAGAUAUCAGGAGGAACACCGGUGGCGAAGGCGGGUCUCUGGGCAGUAACGGACGCUGAGGAGCGAAAGCAUGGGUAGCGAACAGGAUUAGAUACCCUGGUAGUCCAUGCCGUAAACGGUGGGCGCUAGGUGUAGGGGUCUUCCACGACUUCUGUGCCGUAGCUAACGCAUUAAGCGCCCCGCCUGGGGAGUACGGCCGCAAGGCUAAAACUCAAAUGAAUUGACGGGG
This 398-nucleotide ribosomal RNA is filed under the name uncultured bacterium. RNAcentral describes it as "partial 16S ribosomal RNA". It matches the Rfam family "Bacterial small subunit ribosomal RNA", at positions 523 to 918 of the family's 1533-position model. The record is from RNAcentral.